GGUUGUUUGGCCGAGCGGUCUAAGGCGCCUGAUUCAAGGAAAAUCAAAAUAUCUUUGACUGUAGAAAACUACAGGAACACUCAGGUAUCGUAAGAUGCAAGAGUUCGAAUCUCUUAGCAACCA
This 123-nucleotide transfer RNA is filed under the name Naumovozyma dairenensis CBS 421. It matches the Rfam family "tRNA". From Rfam's summary of the family: Transfer RNA (tRNA) molecules are approximately 80 nucleotides in length. The record is from Rfam by way of RNAcentral. Lineage: Eukaryota; Fungi; Ascomycota; Saccharomycetes; Saccharomycetales; Saccharomycetaceae.